RNAcentral lists this ribosomal RNA (301 nucleotides) under uncultured bacterium. Its description in RNAcentral is "partial 16S ribosomal RNA". It matches the Rfam family "Bacterial small subunit ribosomal RNA", at positions 509 to 808 of the family's 1533-position model. The record is from RNAcentral.
CAGUCGCCGCGGUAAUACGUAGGGUGCGAGCGUUAAUCGGAAUUACUGGGCGUAAAGCGUGCGCAGGCGGUUAUAUAAGACAGAUGUGAAAUCCCCGGGCUCAACCUGGGACCUGCAUUUGUGACUGUAUAGCUAGAGUACGGUAGAGGGGGAUGGAAUUCCGCGUGUAGCAGUGAAAUGCGUAGAUAUGCGGAGGAACACCGAUGGCGAAGGCAAUCCCCUGGACCUGUACUGACGCUCAUGCACGAAAGCGUGGGGAGCAAACAGGAUUAGAUACCCGCGUAGUCCCUGUCUCUUAACA